GAAAGAAAAGAAAAAGAGAUAAAGAUCAUAUAAGAAAGAAAAGUCAAAAACAAAAAGGCAAUUCUACUUUUCCAUCAUCUUCUCCACCCUUCUAGAAAAAACAGCCCCUUCAUGCUUGUUUUCUUCAUUUUUUUAGAAGGAUAGUGGAUGAUUUGAAGAGUUUGAAAGAAAAUAAGGAAAGAAAAGAAAAUGAAGCACUUUGGAAGCCUUGGUAACCAAAAGAUUUCUUUCUUUCCCCUUUGCCUAUGUUUAUAUAUAUAUUGGAUGCAUGUUAUAUAAAGAUGUUAGUGUGUUUGGUGUUGAUUUAAGGUGAGUUUGGUGAGGAGGGAGCCAAUUUAGCAAAGAUUAGCUUGAAAUAAGGUACAGGUAAUCGAGGUAGCUGUAAGGCAGGGUCAGGUCAGCAUAGGUAGAUCCGGUUGGAGCAGAGACAUAGAUGUGACGACGUCAAGACAACGGGUCAGUAAUGGAACAGCAUGCAAUUAAUAGACUCUUAGAUUUCUAUUGAUUAUGAUUAUGAGAUGAUAUGAUUUUAUUAUGGAUUUCAUUUGGAUAUUACUAUAAUGCUUGGGAUUAGACUUGGAUUGAUUAUUAUUAUUAUUAAUAAUUGAGGCAUUUUCUUGUA
Molecule: long non-coding RNA, 622 nt
Organism: Mangifera indica (mango)
Lineage: Eukaryota; Viridiplantae; Streptophyta; Magnoliopsida; Sapindales; Anacardiaceae
Exons: 3
Source: RefSeq, a predicted model, not a curated record